Long non-coding RNA from Crotalus tigris (Tiger rattlesnake), 4674 nucleotides. RefSeq lists it as uncharacterized. The transcript is spliced from 3 exons. NCBI's taxonomy places the organism in Eukaryota, Metazoa, Chordata, Lepidosauria, Squamata, Viperidae. The record is from RefSeq and is a predicted model, not a curated record.
CUUUUGGUUGGGAAGAGUGGUAUGUGCGCGCCUCUCGCUGCCUCCCUCGCCGCCCCGGGGAAGAAGGAAGUCAGAUACAUCUAUAAACAUCUUUUAAGAAACAAGAAGCAAUGAAUAUAAUGGGACUCCUAAAUAAAAGACUUGCUGCGUCAGAACUAAAAUGUCAAUAGGAUGUUCUCUCUCUUUUUGUUUCUCCUUUCAUUGCUGCUCUCACUGCUCAUAACAUCAUUUUAUUAUCAAAGAAUGGUAGAGAAAAGUGGAGCAAAGCUAAUAGUCUUUCUCUUGUAGUCUCUCUGGAUGUAGUCUUUUCAUAAGUGUCUUGAACUUGACCUCUUUUGAACGACACAGAGGUCCAACACACAUUUUAAAAAGUUAUAUUUAAAUUUUAAUGUUUUUUUUUAAUUCUGCAAAGCUAUUUAAUAACACACUCUCAAAACACAGAGCGUAAAUCUUUCAGGAUGGUCAUAGAACAGAAACUGGUGGACAAAGCAAAGAAGCUCAGCAAAUGCCCUGAAGCAGCUUUCUUUCUUUUACAUAGAUACCUAUCACAGAUGAAUGUUCACGUGGUUUUUAAAAAGCUUUAUUAUGAUUUAAUCACCAUGGUGCUGAUACUAAAAAUAUAAUUUAGUAAAGAAUGAAGUUUGCUUUUUUAAUACCCCACCCCUCAUUAUAAAAAUGUUCUUUGUAGUGAGGCAAUGGGGGCAUUAGAAAGAUUUACAGUAACAAUAUAAGUGACUAUAAUGAACUAGGGAACAAGGGAGUAUUGUUAUGAUAGAGAUCCUCUAGCAUUUCUAUCAGCACAAAUAUUGAGGGACACAGUCUCCUUUCUGUGUAUCUGUAUAUUAAUAUUAACAUGAGCAGUAAUUACAGGUACUUGGGAUAAAGUUUAUUUAUGAGAACAGAAUACUUAAAGGUAAGCUGUAAAAAUUAAAGUCAUCUACCUGUAACAAAACCAUUAUCACCCAUGGCUGUUCUGCAGUAUGUCAAUUAUGUUUAUUCAGAAUAUCUAAGCAUCUUUACAUUCUACUAAUAUUAUUAAUAUUAAUUUGCCAUACUUUAUUUCAACUUCUAAUACAGCUGAGCUUGGGGACCUGUCCUUAUUUAUUGAAGGACAGAACUGGCCACAUCAUCAUUUGUGUAACUAAAACCCACUCAAAUCAUGCUGGUACAGCAUUGAUCCUUUGCAAGCCUUAUUAGAAUGAAAAGUUCUUAACCUACAUUGAAGGUUUUACCUUCUAAGUUUUACCUUGUCCUUAAAAUUUUUAUAUCUUGCUGUUUAUCUGUUUAAGUAGAAGAGCCUGUUCCUACAUGUCAGUGAUUCAGCGCAACCAUUAUCAAAAUUAUCAAGCUUUGAUCAAAGAAAAGAUAAGCAAGGAUAAUAUCCAGAUAGCAUUUUUACAACACUACCUCAGAAUUUUCCAGUUAAUUCUCCAAGUUCAGAUAACCUCAGAAAAUACCAAUAAGAUAAAAUGGGUUUUGCUCUGAUUGUCUAUAGACUGUCCUAUUCUCACCUGUUAAUUGUUUUAAACAAGCAAAUGAUGGAAGCAAUUAUGAUAGAAUUUGACCAGUUUUUAACAGUUGCCAUAGCACAUUUGACCAGCAGUUGUGGAAAAUUUUUAAAGGAUGAAUUCACCAUGAAGGUACUGCAAUCAGUAAGUAUUCCCAUUACUAUGAAGAUUACUUUAUUUAUGCAAUUAUUUUGGCUUACAUGUAACUCCAUUUAUGAAGGCUUCAAAUAGCUUUCAAUUAACAUAAAUUUAAAAACUAGAAUAUUAAUAGUAUAAUCAAUACAGCAAGAACAUUUUGAUGUAUCGCUCAUUUGAGCAGCAGAUCUUUAGUCAUCCCCAUAUGCUGUCUGGCAGAGCCAUGAUUCCAUAAUUCUUUGAAAAUGGGGGAUUCUGGAGCUGAAAUCCACAGAUCUUAAAGUUAUUAAGGUUGAGAAACACUGGUCUAAGGUUAGGCUGUUUCAGAAAUGGGGGGGGGCAUUGCUGAGUACAAUAUGUGUUUUCUGUUGGUGACCUUCCUGUAGGCUUGGAAUUCUCAACAAGUUGUUCUUAAUAGAUAUCAUUGGGCAGACAGAUUCAACUUGGAUGAACUAUUCAGUUAUUUUAACUUUUAAAAAUGCAAACAGGAUAUCAUGAGAGAGAGAAAAAUGUUUUCAUGUUGGAUUUUUCUAAAUAUUAAAAAGAACCAGGGAAUCAUUUGUAUAUGAAAAUAUUUAUCAGGAAGAGACAAGUUAUUGCUACAAGAGCAAUGAGUUUAUGAGAAUUUCUUUGCCAUAAUACAUUGUUCAGAGAAAAUAUUCUAUCAUUUAUGGGAUAUUGUUCUCCUGGAUUUAAAGAUUUAUUGAUAGCCUGGCUGGUAAAUCUUGGCUUCUAUGAGAAUGGCCUAGUGGCCUAGUGGUAAAGUCACUUUUCUCCUGCUUAGAAGGUUGAGCGUUAAAUCCUGGGUAGUGGCAGAUGUUUCUUUCCUAGGGUGGAAAGAAAAAAUAUCUGCUGCAAACCCCGCAUAGGUUUCUAUAAGAUUGUGAUAAAUCUCCAGACUCUUCUAAAUGUGUCUUACUAUGUAAGAGAUUUGAAAGUUUCUUUUCACAUUUUGGUUGUAAAAGCGUGUUUAUUUUUAACCUAAAACAUACUAGUGAAAGCUUUUUAUGUAUGUGCAAUUAUUUUGGCAAUAGAUUAUCACAUUGUAUGUAUGUAUGUAUGUAUGUAUGUAUGUAUGUAUCAGCAAAAUUCUUAUCUUAGUAUCAGAACAAUGUAUUUUUAAUUUUAUAAAGUCUAAGGGGAAAAAUGCAUUAUUUCGACAUUGGGCUUAAAAAACCAGUCUAAUGAUACAUGCUGAUCUGUCAGUUUUAUCUUUGUUUAAUUCCCAGUUUGCUAAUAUAGAACAUCCAAAUGUUGUUUAACAUGCAAAGUUUGUACACAUAGAGCAGGUGUGAGGGGGGUACAUAGGAAAUUGCAACGAGUAAAGGGUGUAGCCUUUUUCUUCUACUAAUGGAAAUAAUUGGAGUGGAAAAAAUGCAUCAUUUUUUUAUUCAAAAAGUCAAAAUAAUCUAGUUCAGCUACAGUUUUUUUAACAGAAUUAAUUUUAUUUAAAUUUGAAUACACUGAAUUAAUUUUACUGUUCAUUCCUCAGGCUGUAAAGUUAUUCAUAAUAUUUAUCUUGACUCAAUCUUCUUGGUGGUUUCUUUACAUCAAUGGACAUUGUACAAUGUGUAAUAUAGUCUUGCUAAUGGGCUCACUUUAAAGUAUUUCUCCUCAAGGUUACUACUAUUGUAGCAUUAUUUGCAGUGAUAACUCAAAUUUAGAAAGGUGUGAAAAGAGGGUGUGGUUCUCUACAAUUACCCUAAAGUUAUUUUCAAGGGUAAUUUUCUGCACUUUCUAAUUUGCUUCAAAAGAUUAAGUCUGGAAUGAAAAAGUCAUUUUUUAAUCUCUUAAAUGUUGGGAUAACUGAUCACAAUAUCCAGUCCCUUGGACUUUGCUGAAUCAUUACCUAAAAGAGAAUAUUGUGCAAUUGUGAGCACUUGAAAAAAGUUCUAAAAAAAUAUAAAAUGACUAUUAUAAUUUAACUUCUGUUCUUGAUGCUGAACAAUGACAUACAAUGGAAAUUUAAUUUUUGGCCAUUUUGUAAAUCUUCCCUAGAAACCAUUUAAUCCAAUGAAUGCUAAAUUUAUGUCUUAGUAUUUUACAAUAAUGAAAACUGCACAUUAGUUGUAUCCCAGACUGUAUAAAGAUACAUUUCAGGCAAAAAGUCUGUAUUGGCUCUAACCAGGUUAAUGUUUCUCUCCUAUUUACAGUGCUGGAAGUAUAGCAAUCUGGUCUCUGUUGAGAGUAAAGGGAAAUGGGAAAAAAGGAGUAUCAGAUCUGCUAACCAGGCCACAUAUGUAGAAAGCAACUAACAGCUACCUAUGGCUCCUGGGCUAUGAAUUGGUCAUAUGUCUUUCAAAGAUAAGCAAAAUUUGGAAGAUGAAAUAGAAAAUAAAUGUCCAAAGAAACAUGUAAAAACAUUUCUUACUACAUGAUCAAUCUUUGCUACUGAUAAGAAUAUUAUUACUUUAAAUAAACUAUCCUCUCAUAUAGUUUGCAUAGCAAUUUAUAAUUGUCAGUUCAGCUACUAGGUAUUUUUAAAAUAAGGUUUCAUGCUGGAAACAAAAAUAAGAACUUCCAUAAGUUUUCAUAUUUUCAUAUGGGUCAGAUCAGCUUUUGUAAAUCUCUGGCAUCAGAGGAAUGCCAAGAUCUUUUCAAAAUUAUAGUCAACAUUAUACAGUAUUUAAAGGUAUUAUCAACAUGUAUUUGCAAAUCUGGGUUUACCAACAUUUUUUCCCAAAAAAAUUUUCCACUCAUAUGACAUAUGACACAUUCAUCUAAAGUUUUUCUGUUAAAAUUAUUUUAAUUUUAUGAAAGUAAUGGUUCUUUCAAAUUGCUAUUAGCCACCUUUUAUUAUAUGGAUGGUGUCAGCUAAGAAGGAAUGCAUUUCCAAACUCUACUUGUUCAUUUAUGUAACAGAACUAGUUGAGGUUUUGGACUGGAACUGGGUAAAUCAAAGAUUAGGUCUUCGUUUGAACUCUGAAUUCUGAACAACUUUAUGAAAUAGACUAAGAUACAGUAAUUAACCCACCAUCAAAAAAUGAUGUAAAAUUGAUAAUCAAUAAAAUAAAUAUUUAGACAUUCAAAA